Molecule: ribosomal RNA, 427 nt
Filed under: uncultured bacterium
Lineage: Bacteria
Description: bacterial SSU rRNA
Rfam family: Bacterial small subunit ribosomal RNA
Source: RNAcentral
UGGGGAAUUUUGGACAAUGGGCGCAAGCCUGAUCCAGCAAUGCCGCGUGCAGGAUGAAGGCCUUCGGGUUGUAAACUGCUUUUGUACGGAGCGAAAAGGUCUGCCCUAAUACGGUGGGCUCAUGACGGUACCGUAAGAAUAAGCACCGGCUAACUACGUGCCAGCAGCCGCGGUAAUACGUAGGGUGCGAGCGUUAAUCGGAAUUACUGGGCGUAAAGCGUGCGCAGGCGGUUUUGUAAGACAGAGGUGAAAUCCCCGGGCUCAACCUGGGAAUUGCCUUUGUGACUGCAAGGCUUGAGUGCGGCAGAGGGGGAUGGAAUUCCGCGUGUAGCAGUGAGAUGCGUAGAUAUGCGGAGGAACACCGAUGGCGAAGGCAAUCCCCUGGACCUGUACUGACGCUCAUGCACGAAAGCGUGGGGAGCAAACA